UUAAGCCCCAGUAAACGGCGGCCGUAACUAUAACGGUCCUAAGGUAGCGAAAUUCCUUGUCGGGUAAGUUCCGACCCGCACGAAAGGCGUAAUGAUUUGAGCGCUGUCUCGACAAUGCAUCCGGUGAAAUUGAAGUACCAGUGAAGAUGCUGGUUACCUGCGCCAGGACGGAAAGACCCCAUGGAGCUUUACUCCAGUUUGAUACUGGGAUUCGGUACUGCAUGUACAGGAUAGGUGGGAGACGGAGAAGGAUGGACGCCAGUCUGUCCGGAGUCGCUGUUGGGAUACCACCCCUGUAGUACUGGGUUUCUAACCAGUUGCCAUGAACUGGCAAUGGGACAAUGUCAGGCGGGGAGUUUGACUGGGGCGGUCGCCUCCGAAAGGGUAUCGGAGGCGCUCAAAGGUUCCCUCAGAAUGGUUGGAAACCAUUCGAAGAGUGCAAAGGCAGAAGGGAGCUUGACUGCGACACCGACGGGUGGAGCAGGUACGAAAGUAGGACUUAGUGAUCCGGUGGUAUAAAGUGGGAUUGCCAUCGCUCAACGGAUAAAAGCUACCCUGGGGAUAACAGGCUUAUCACUCCCAAGAGUUCACAUCGACGGAGUGGUUUGGCACCUCGAUGUCGGCUCAUCGCAUCCUGGGGCUGAAGUAGGUCCCAAGGGUUGGGCUGUUCGCCCAUUAAAGCGGUACGCGAGCUGGGUUCAGAACGUCGUGAGACAGUUCGGUCCCUAUCCGGCGUGGGCGUAGGAUAUUUGAGAGGAGCUGUCCUUAGUACGAGAGGACCGGGAUGGACAAACCUCUGGUGUAUCUGUUGUUUUACCAAAGGCAUGGCAGAGUAGCCAAGUUUGGCAGGGAUAAACGCUGAAGGCAUCUAAGCGUGAAGCCCCCCUCAAGAUAAGAUAUCCCAUCUUCGGAGUAAGACCCCUUGAAGACUACAAGGUUGAUAGGCUUCAGGUGUAAGUGUGGUAACGCACUCAGCUGAGAAGUACUAAUAGGUCGAGGACUUAUCCUU
This 1009-nucleotide ribosomal RNA is filed under the name human gut metagenome. RNAcentral's name for it is "bacterial LSU rRNA". It matches the Rfam family "Bacterial large subunit ribosomal RNA", at positions 1913 to 2925 of the family's 2925-position model. The record is from RNAcentral.